Molecule: ribosomal RNA, 245 nt
Filed under: uncultured Lactobacillus sp.
Lineage: Bacteria; Bacillati; Bacillota; Bacilli; Lactobacillales; Lactobacillaceae
Description: partial 16S ribosomal RNA
Rfam family: Bacterial small subunit ribosomal RNA
Source: RNAcentral
GGGGAACCGUGCCCCACUAGUCUGGGAUACCACUUGGAACAGGUGCUAAUACCGGAUAAGAAAGCGGAUCGCAUGAUCAGCUUUUAAAAGGCGGCGUAAGCUGUCGCUAUGGGAUGGCCCCGCGGUGCAUUAGCUAGUUGGUAAGGUAAAGGCUUACCAAGGCGAUGAUGCAUAGCCGAGUUGAGAGACUGAUCGGCCACAUUGGGACUGAGACACGGCCCAAACUCCUACGGGAGGCAGCAGCG